This 254-nucleotide ribosomal RNA is filed under the name uncultured bacterium. Its description in RNAcentral is "partial 16S ribosomal RNA". It matches the Rfam family "Bacterial small subunit ribosomal RNA", at positions 524 to 776 of the family's 1533-position model. The record is from RNAcentral.
UACGGAGGAUCCAAGCGUUAUCCGGAAUUACUGGGCGUAAAGAGUUGCGUAGGUGGUUUAUUAAGCAAGGCAUGAAAUCGUGUGGCUCAACCAUGCGGCUAUGUUUUGAACUGGUAGACUAGAGGAUGAGAGAGGUUAUUGGAAUUCCCAGUGUAGGAGUGAAAUCCGUAGAUAUUGGGAGGAACACCGAUGGCGUAGGCAGAUAACUGGCUCAUUCCUGACACUAAGGCACGAAAGCGUGGGUAGCAAACGGG